CCUACGUGAGGCAGCAGUGAGGAAUAUUGGUCAAUGGGCGCGAGCCUGAACCAGCCAAGUAGCGUGAAGGAUGACUGCCCUACGGGUUGUAAACUUCUUUUAUAAAGGAAUAAAGUGAGGCACGUGUGCCUUUUUGUAUGUACGUUAUGAAUAAGGAUCGGCUAACUCCGUGCCAGCAGCCGCGGUAAUACGGAGGAUCCGAGCGUGAUCCGGAUUUAUUGGGUUUAAAGGGAGCGUAGAUGGGUUGUUAAGUCAGUUGUGAAAGUUUGCGGCUCAACCGUAGAAUGUCAAUUGACACUGGCAGUCUUGAGUACAGUUGAGGUAGGCGGAAUUCGUGGUGUAGCGGUGAAAUGCUGAGAUAUCACGAAGAACUCCGAUUGCUAAGGCAGCUUACUAAACUGCCACUGACAUUGAGGCUCGAAAGUGUGGGUAUCAAACAGGAUUAGAUACCCGAGUAGUC
RNAcentral lists this ribosomal RNA (460 nucleotides) under uncultured bacterium. RNAcentral describes it as "partial 16S ribosomal RNA". It matches the Rfam family "Bacterial small subunit ribosomal RNA", at positions 338 to 795 of the family's 1533-position model. The record is from RNAcentral.